AACGAACGCUGGCGGCAUGCCUAACACACGCAAGUCGAACGAGACCUUCGGGUCUAGUGGCGCACGGGUGCGUAACGCGUGGGAACCUGCCCUUAGGUUCGGAAUAACUCCCCGAAAGGGGUGCUAAUACCGGAUAAUGUCUUCGGACCAAAGAUUUAUCGCCUUUGGAUGGGCCCGCGUUGGAUUAGCUAGUUGGUAGGGUAAAAGCCUACCAAGGCGACGAUCCAUAGCUGGUCUGAGAGGAUGAUCAGCCACACUGGGACUGAGACACGGCCCAGACUCCUACGGGAGGCAGCAGUGGGGAAUAUUGGACAAUGGGCGAAAGCCUGAUCCAGCAAUGCCGCGUGAGUGAUGAGGGCCUUAGGGUUGUAAAGCUCUUUUACCCGGGAUGAUAAUGACAGUACCGGGAGAAUAAGCUCCGGCUAACUCCGUG
Molecule: ribosomal RNA, 433 nt
Filed under: uncultured bacterium
Lineage: Bacteria
Description: partial 16S ribosomal RNA
Rfam family: Bacterial small subunit ribosomal RNA
Source: RNAcentral